RNAcentral lists this ribosomal RNA (488 nucleotides) under uncultured bacterium. Its description in RNAcentral is "partial 16S ribosomal RNA". It matches the Rfam family "Bacterial small subunit ribosomal RNA", at positions 28 to 507 of the family's 1533-position model. The record is from RNAcentral.
GACGAACGCUGGCGGCGUGCUUAACACAUGCAAGUCGAACGGAAAGGCCCCCAUCUUGGUGGGGGUGCUCGAGUGGCGAACGGGUGAGUAACACGUGGGUGAUCUGCCCUGUACUUCGGGAUAAGCUUGGGAAACUGGGUCUAAUACCGGAUAGGACCAUGGUUUAGUGUCUCAUGGUGGAAAGAUUAUUGUUUUGGUGCAGGAUGAGCUCGCGGCCUAUCAGCUUGUUGGUGGGGUAAUGGCCUACCAAGGCGUCGACGGGUAGCCGGCCUGAGAGGGUGGACGGCCACAUUGGGACUGAGAUACGGCCCAGACUCCUACGGGAGGCAGCAGUGGGGAAUAUUGCACAAUGGGCGCAAGCCUGAUGCAGCGACGCCGCGUGGGGGAUGACGGCCUUCGGGUUGUAAACUCCUUUCGUUAGGGACGAAGCCGCACUUUUUGGGGUGUGGUGACGGUACCUUUGUUAAGAAGCACCGGCUAACUACGUG